This 489-nucleotide ribosomal RNA is filed under the name Granulicatella adiacens. Its description in RNAcentral is "bacterial SSU rRNA". It matches the Rfam family "Bacterial small subunit ribosomal RNA", at positions 28 to 492 of the family's 1533-position model. The record is from RNAcentral. Lineage: Bacteria; Bacillati; Bacillota; Bacilli; Lactobacillales; Carnobacteriaceae.
GACGAACGCUGGCGGCGUGCCUCAUACAUGCAAGUCGAACGAGAGCGACUGGUGCUUGCACUGGUCAAUCUAGUGGCGAACGGGUGAGUAACACGUGGGUAACCUGCCCAUCAGAGGGGGAUAACAUCCGGAAACGGAUGCUAAAACCGCAUAGGUCUUCGAGCCGCAUGGCUUGAAGAGGAAAAGAGGCGCAAGCUUCUGCUGAUGGAUGGACCCGCGGUGCAUUAGCUAGUUGGUGAGGUAACGGCUCACCAAGGCCGUGAUGCAUAGCCGACCUGAGAGGGUGAUCGGCCACAUUGGGACUGAGACACGGCCCAAACUCCUACGGGAGGCAGCAGUAGGGAAUCUUCCGCAAUGGACGCAAGUCUGACGGAGCAACGCCGCGUGAGUGAAGAAGGUUUUCGAGAUCGUAAAACUCUGUUGUUAGAGAAGAACAGAUGCUAGAGUAACUGUUGAGCGCUCUGGAACGUGUAUCUAUACCAGAAAGCC